This 254-nucleotide non-coding RNA is filed under the name Paenibacillus sp. Its description in RNAcentral is "T-box sequence". It matches the Rfam family "T-box leader". Rfam says of the family: Uncharged tRNA acts as the effector for transcription antitermination of genes in the T-box leader family. T-boxes are found upstream of many aminoacyl-tRNA synthetase genes and some amino acid biosynthetic genes usually in Gram-positive bacteria. Lineage: Bacteria; Bacillati; Bacillota; Bacilli; Caryophanales; Paenibacillaceae. The record is from RNAcentral.
UUAAACGCGAUGACGAGAAGAGUAAGGGAACAUGUUCUUGUACAGAGAGCUCCGGCAGUUGAAAAGGAGUCAAGAGUUUUUCCCUGAAGCAAGCCUCAGAGCAGGAUGUCGGAACCGUAGGCGGGGAUGGCAUAACGGGAGCUCCCGUUACAGAGCUAGAGUAUAAGCAUGGACUGCUAUGCCGUACUUGAAAAGGUUAAUAUGGCGACAUAUUAAUGAAUCUGGGGUGGCACCACGAAAAUUUCGUCCCCAAG